CCGCCGCCCUCGGCGCUGUCGCGGAGCCGCCUGUGCCCCGUCCCGCCCGCGCUUCUCGGGGUGCCGGGGGAAAGAGGCGGCUACCAGCCGUGCGCUGUGACUGGUGAAGCGUGAGCAAAACUUGUGCUGUACCGGUUGGUUCUUCCAGGCUUGCUGAGGUGUUUGAGUGUGUCUUAUUGGAAUGGUGAGGGAGCAAGGGCCUGAUGGAAGGGAAGGAAACAAGAACCUCCUGAGUUGAAACUCCAUCUGCAGUCCCUACACAAGGACCCCUGUUUUUUCCUGGAUAAGGAGUUUGCAAUUCUGUCUGGAAGGCACACAAUUAUAGUCUGUCAGUCAGACCUGUAGGAGUCAUGUGAGUCACCUUUGACUUCACUCUUUUUUUG
RNAcentral lists this long non-coding RNA (383 nucleotides) under Ficedula albicollis (Collared flycatcher). Its description in RNAcentral is "lncRNA (ENSFALG00000027272.1)". Lineage: Eukaryota; Metazoa; Chordata; Aves; Passeriformes; Muscicapidae. The record is from RNAcentral.